CGACGCCGCGUGAUUGAUGAAGUCCCUCGGGACGUAAAGAUCUUUUAUGAGGGAAGAAGUUAUUGACGGUACCUCAUGAAUAAGGGCCUCCUAAUCUCGUGCCAGCAGGAGCGGUAAUACGAGAGGCUCAAGCGUUAUCCGGAAUUAUUGGGCGUAAAGGGUGUGUAGGCGGUUAUGUUAGUCUUUUGUGAAAGCCCGCAGGCUCAACCUGUGGAACGCAGGGGAAACGGCAUAACUAGAGGAUGCGAGAGGUAAAGGGAACUCAUGGUGUAGGGGUGAAAUCCGUUGAUAUCAUGGGGAACACCAAAGGCGAAGGCACUUUACUGGCGCACUCCUGACGCUGAAACACGAAAGCGUGGGUAGCGAAUGGGAUUAGAUACCCCAGUAGUCCACGCCCUAAACGAUGAUCAUUGGCUUUUCGGAGUAUCGACCCUCUGAGAGGCGAAGCUAACGCGUUAAAUGAUCCGCCUGGGUAGUACGGCCGCAAGGCUAAAACUCAAAGGAAUAGACGGGGACUUGCACAAGCAGUGGAUUAUGUGGUUUAAUUCGACGCCAAACGAAGAACCUCACCAGGGUUAGAAAUUCUAUCGAAUCCCGACGGAAACGUCGGGAGUCUCACAA
This 621-nucleotide ribosomal RNA is filed under the name uncultured bacterium. RNAcentral's name for it is "bacterial SSU rRNA". It matches the Rfam family "Bacterial small subunit ribosomal RNA", at positions 392 to 1023 of the family's 1533-position model. The record is from RNAcentral.